UUCAUUGCAGGGGAGUCAGACUCAAUGAUCUUUAAGGGUCCCUUCCAACUCUAAGGACUCUAUGAUAUGUAGUUGCUCCUGUGCUACAGAAUCCCAUCAGAAGCCACUGGGUUUGGAGCUGUGUAUGCACCAGUUCCAAAUUAUACGGCUCUGCAGGGUGCUGGAGAUGUGUGCACAUGGAGGAAGGAGUUACCAGUACAUCUGUCCAGGAAGCUUUACAAAGAUUGCUGUUAUGGUACCAUAGAAUGGCUUAGAUUUGGAAGGGACUUUAAAGAUCAUUGAGCUCCAACACCCUUGCUAUGGACAGGGUUACCGACUACAAGAUCAGGCUGUCCUAUCAAAAAGCAAGUCCUUCUGCAGGAGGGGCAGUGAUACAUUUGGUUCUCUGGAGCAAUUUGAUGAGCAAGAACUCUUAGAAUUAUUUACAAAGACUCAGGAGGAACUGCAGCUGAUGCUUCCCUCUCACCGAGCGAGUGUCUUCUGAACGCAUAGCUGUUUUGAUGAAGACUCUGUGAGGCAGACAAGAAGCCAAAACACUGUUAGCAAACAGGUGGGUUUACAGUAAAGCCUGCUAGUCAGCGCUGUCUGUUGGUAGAGGAAAGAGAACACCCAGCGUCAUAAAUACGACUCCCAGGGGACCUCCAUGCUUGAAACAGUAACUCAAAACGUCAUAAAUCCUCUACAAAUCUGAAUGUUCUAUGGAUGUAAAAUGGUUACUCAUCACCCAUUUGCUCUCCAAAGGGUAAGGCAGUUGAUAUACCUCCUCCUGUUGCUUCCCAGUUUGCUCCUGUCACUGGGGUACAACUCCAGAGCACUUUGAGUCACUUGCAAACUGGUGAGGGAGAGCAGGAUUUUGACACUGGAUUGCUGCAGCCCCGCCUGAGACAGCAUUAAGCUGCUGUGAAAUUUCCUCCCUCUCUCUUCCCUGUAGUGUCUUUCAGAUGCUGUUGAGCAAGCUCGAUGUGGGAUGGCUUGAAACUGGUUUAUACUUGAAAACACAGCUUUGUCAAAGCAAUUUUUCGCUUUUUUUUUUUUUUAACUUAAGAAAAAGCUCAUAAAUUGAGGCAAAGGAGUUUGUCUAGUCCUUUUCUUUUCUUUUUUCUUUUUUUUUUCUCCACCCUAGAAAACUGAGCUUGUGUAGGCUUUUCUAAAAUGCAAAGUGUUUUCUGUUUGAAGCGAGAUUUUUAACAUAAACUAAUUGCCAGUGUUCUUUUGCAGCAAAUAGACUGCAAAAAAAAAAAAACAAAAACCACUGGAGUGCCCACUGCCUGUUGUUGAACACGGGCUGGCAGGGGGUGUUGAGGCAGCAGCAGAUCUGCAUCUCUGGGCCUGUGAAACCCUUUAGAAAUUCUCACUGGUGCUUUGUAAAUGAGAACAAAGCUAAUCACCUCCUGGAUCUCUCCUGCUGCUGAAAAGAACUACCAGUCUGCUCAGUGAGUCUCUGCGCUCAGCAAUAGCGCGUUUUCAAAGUCAGGCAGAAUUUUCUCCCUGGGAAGUGAGUUACCUCAGGGCUCUUGGAAGUGAUGGAGAAUUAACUAAAGGCCCUGACAUAACCAAAAUCAAUUAAGGAAAAUUCACAAGACUGUUUUAUAACUGAUAGAAAAUAAACAUAUCUCAGUAUGUUAACCUA
Molecule: non-coding RNA, 1630 nt
Organism: Phasianus colchicus (ring-necked pheasant)
Lineage: Eukaryota; Metazoa; Chordata; Aves; Galliformes; Phasianidae
Source: RefSeq, a predicted model, not a curated record